GCGAGGGUAGCCAAGCCAGGUCAACGGCGUCAGGUUCAGGGCCUGAUCCCGCAGGGGUUCUUGGGUUCAAAUCCCAUCCCUCGCA
This 85-nucleotide transfer RNA is filed under the name Methanoregula sp. RNAcentral describes it as "tRNA-Leu". It matches the Rfam family "tRNA". Rfam says of the family: Transfer RNA (tRNA) molecules are approximately 80 nucleotides in length. Their secondary structure includes four short double-helical elements and three loops (D, anti-codon, and T loops). Further hydrogen bonds mediate the characteristic L-shaped molecular structure. tRNAs have two regions of fundamental functional importance: the anti-codon, which is responsible for specific mRNA codon recognition, and the 3' end, to which the tRNAs corresponding amino acid is attached (by aminoacyl-tRNA synthetases). tRNAs cope with the degeneracy of the genetic code in two manners: having more than one tRNA (with a specific anti-codon) for a particular amino acid; and 'wobble' base-pairing, i.e. permitting non-standard base-pairing at the 3rd anti-codon position. The record is from RNAcentral. Lineage: Archaea; Methanobacteriati; Methanobacteriota; Methanomicrobia; Methanomicrobiales; Methanoregulaceae.